Molecule: small nuclear RNA, 107 nt
Organism: Nycticebus coucang (slow loris)
Lineage: Eukaryota; Metazoa; Chordata; Mammalia; Primates; Lorisidae
Source: RefSeq, a predicted model, not a curated record
GUGCUCACUUCCACAGCACAUAUACUAAAGUUAGGACACUAUACAGAGGAGAUUCACAUGGCCUGCACAGGAAUGACGUGCAAAUUGGUGAAGCAUUCCGUAUUUUU